GACGAACGCUGGCGGCGUGCUUAACACAUGCAAGUCGAACGGAAAGGCCCUGCUUUUGUGGGGUGCUCGAUUGGCGAAAGGGUGAGUAACACGUGAGUAACCUGCCCUUGACUUUGUGAUAACUUUAGGAAACUGGGGCUAAUACCGGAUAUGAGCUCCUGCUGCAUGGUGUGGGUUGGAAAGUUUCGGCGGUGGGGGAUGGACUCGCGGCUUACCAGCUUGUUGGUGGGGUAGUGGCUUACCAAGGGUUUGACGGGUAGCCGGCCUGAGAGGGUGACCGGCCACCAUGGGACUGCGAUAGGGACCAGACGCCAACGGGAGGCAGCAGUGGGGAGUCUUGCACAAUGGGGGGAAGCGUGAUGCGGAGACUCCGCGUGCGGGAUAACGGCCUUCGAGUUAUAAACAGAUUUCGCAUGUGACGAAGAGUGAGUGACGGUACUGGGUCAAGAAGCCACGGCUAACUACGUG
This 468-nucleotide ribosomal RNA is filed under the name uncultured bacterium. RNAcentral's name for it is "partial 16S ribosomal RNA". It matches the Rfam family "Bacterial small subunit ribosomal RNA", at positions 28 to 507 of the family's 1533-position model. The record is from RNAcentral.